This 361-nucleotide unclassified non-coding RNA is filed under the name uncultured fungus. Its description in RNAcentral is "sequence contains ITS1". The stretch from base 1 to 105 matches the Rfam family "5.8S ribosomal RNA", at positions 50 to 154 of the family's 154-position model. Lineage: Eukaryota; Fungi. The record is from RNAcentral.
GAAUUGCGAUAAGUAGUGUGAAUUGCAGAAUUUCGUGAAUCAUCGAAUCUUUGAACGCACAUUGCGCUUCCUGGUAUUCCGGGAAGCAUGCCUGUUUGAGAAUCGUUUACCUCCUCACCUUGCCUUUUGGGCAUGGUGGACUUGGCAUUUUUCCUUGCAACACAGGAAUGUGUUGAAAUGGACAAGGCAACGGCACUGUGUUGCAUAGCGACAUUGGUAAGCUCUGGCUUAUGACCGCUGGCCAACACCGUGUCCAUGUUGCUUCGACUCAAACCUUCUGCUCCAGUAGCAGUACGGACCACGAUCAAGGCAACUUGAUUUUUAUGGUCUCAAAUCAGGCAAGACUACCCGCUGAACUUAA